UACGGAGGGUGCAAGCGUUAAUCGGAAUCACUGGGCGUAAAGCGCGCGUAGGCGGUUUGUUAAGUGGGAUGUGAAAUCCCCGGGCUUAACCUGGGAAUUGCAUUUCAAACUGGCCGGCUAGAGUACGGUAGAGGGAGGUAGAAUUUCCUGUGUAGCGGUGAAAUGCGUAGAUAUAGGAAGGAAUACCAGUGGCGAAGGCGGCCUCCUGGAUCGAUACUGACGCUGAGGCGCGAAAGCGUGGGGAGCAAACGGG
Molecule: ribosomal RNA, 253 nt
Filed under: uncultured bacterium
Lineage: Bacteria
Description: partial 16S ribosomal RNA
Rfam family: Bacterial small subunit ribosomal RNA
Source: RNAcentral